This 833-nucleotide long non-coding RNA is filed under the name Brassica rapa (field mustard). Its description in RNAcentral is "long non-coding RNA (BRAP_LNC003749)". The record is from RNAcentral. Lineage: Eukaryota; Viridiplantae; Streptophyta; Magnoliopsida; Brassicales; Brassicaceae.
UCGUAUUUAAGGAUAAUUCACUGUUUAUGAGGAGUAGUUGUAUGGCCAAGACAUAGAUCAAAAUGAGGCGUUUUGAUACAGACGAUGAAGCGUACAUUGUUUUGAAUUAUUUUUGUCAAAGGUUUUUUUUAUAGAUGGUUCGUUCAAAUUGAUGUUUAUGGACGAGUCUCAGAGGGAUUUGGAUACUGAAUUGAUAUAUGAUGUUUAUAUAUAUGGUUUAUUUUUUUGGUUAUCCAAUACGAAAUUUGUUUGAAAAGGUCAGUUUGUAGAAAAAGAUGUUUACACUUGGUAAGGACAGGAGAGAAGAGUUGAAGGUUGAGACUUAUUUGGGGACAAGAGGGCCGACAAAAAUGUAAAAGCUGAGAGGUAUGACUUUAGACUUUAGUUCACACGAUUCGUAAGGUGCAAACAGCAAACGAGAAAUGAAGGAAUUCAUUGUUAAUUUUUUUUUCUUUUUCUUUUUUAUUCCUUUAAAUAAAAAUAUAUACUAUUAAAACAACAAUUUUUAUUGAUAUUCCAUGGACUUGCUUUAUAUAUUACAAGUGUACUACUCUUAUAUUUAUGGUAAUAUUACCAUUUAAUCAUUUAUUGAAAGCCAUUAAAGUUAUUUUAGUCAAGUUAAUAUUUUGUAAAGUGGUUACUCCAGUUAAUAUCUAAUCUCGAAUCCUCUCUCUUUCAACCCAACCUUUAUGCACUAGAUUUUGUACUCGCGCAUAGCGCGAAUCUGUAUUAAUAAUUUACUUUAUAUUUUAUAGUAAUUAUAAGUUUUUAAAUAGAAAUUUAUAUCAAUAUUUGUUUGUGAAAAUGUAUUUACAAUGUGAUUUUCUGUUUUG